CUUCUUGGUAGUUUUUGAAAAAAUACGUAGUUUUGAGCUACAAGAAAGAAUUGUAUUCUCCGAAGAAG
This 68-nucleotide transfer RNA is filed under the name Doliolum nationalis. RNAcentral's name for it is "tRNA-Gln". The record is from RNAcentral. Lineage: Eukaryota; Metazoa; Chordata; Thaliacea; Doliolida; Doliolidae.